GGGGGGGGUUGAUUAUGGGGCUUUCUACUAUUAUCUUCGGACAUAAUGAAAGAAAGGGGAUGUCCUUAGUAGAAAGAUUCGAUCAGUAAACAGCUCUUUCCAGUUCAAGGAAAGAGGAGAUAUAGAGGAAUAAGCAGAUAGAGAGUUUGUUUGAGAGUUAUGAUUAAGAGACAAAAGAUGAGGAAAAUCCACCGUAAAAAUCGAAGCCAUCUCAAGAGGAACAUAAAAAAGUAGGGGGAAGAGGGAAGAGACGUUGGGUAGAAGCCCUAGUGCGAGGAGAGCGAAGAGGAACUAAGAUCCAACUACUCAAAGAGAGCAUAUACUCGGAGAACCUUUUAGGUUUUUUCUCUUCUCACACCACGUGUGAAGGCUUUCUAUCUAGAUCCUCUGAUGGCUAGAGGCUACAGACUAUUUUACAAAAGUUCUAGAUAUUUCACAUAGCGUGAGAGGAAUGAAAGAAGGAUUCAAAAUGAUAUCUCUAAUAUCUCUACCAUCUGCUUUAAAUUCUUAAGGUUAUUAAACUUAAAAUUGCCUCCUUGAAGAUGGAAGGAUACAUUAUUCAUCUUGUUGAUUAGCUACUUUGGUUUGCUGCUUGAAAUAUUCUUCUUGGGAAGUCUUGUGAGUUCCUUUAGCUGUUGUUUUCCCCAUUUUGUUCUAGCAGGUACUCCGGCUAUGCCCUAUUUUGUGGGGCAGCUCUCUCAAUUUUGAGUAUUUGAUGGGCUUUCGCUUCAUUUGAGGGAUGUUUUUUUUUUUUUUGACACAAUGAUGAAUGCCAGCUGUGCUACAGCAGUUCCCCAAGAAGGUCAUCGUGGCAACCAGCUGGCAUCUUGGAAGGCCCAAGUGGCAACCAGGGGGCUUUAUUGAACGUCCGUGUAAACCUGAAGUUUUUGUUAUUUUCGGGUAUUCUACGUCAUAAUUUUUUUGUAAUUCAGAUAACUUUUUUUUGGCCUACUCAUUUGUUCUCAUUUAUGUGUUUGAUUGAUCUUUACCCUAUUCUUUCACUGUCUUGGCCUCUCUUAUUUUGGAGUUGUAUUUUGAUUUAAAUUUUAAGGUUAUAAUUUUUUUAUUA
Dendrobium catenatum is the source of this 1069-nucleotide long non-coding RNA. RefSeq lists it as uncharacterized. The record is from RefSeq and is a predicted model, not a curated record. The transcript is spliced from 2 exons. Lineage: Eukaryota; Viridiplantae; Streptophyta; Magnoliopsida; Asparagales; Orchidaceae.